UAAUAGUUGCAAAUGAGGAAUGGGGAGAAUAUUUUAAAGCCUCCCCUCUCCCGCUUCUCGUUUUCUAUACCUCAUACUCAAUCAGUGUGCAAGAUUAGUAAGUUUUCCUCACGACUUUACUUUUAGUUUUCUUUAGGUUAUCCUUCAAAUAAUGGGAGAGAAUACUUUAUAACCUCCCCUUUCGUGCUCUCUCCUCGUUUUCUAUUCCUAAUGCCCAAUCAGUGUACAAGAUUAACAAGUUUCCAUCACGGCCUCCUUUUCAACUUUUCUUUAGGUUAUCCUUCUAAUAAUGGAUAAUGAGAGAGAAUAUAGUAUAGCUCUUCCUUUCCCACUCUCUCCUCGUUUUCUAUACCUUAUACCCAUUCAGCGUACAAGAUCAGCAAGUUUUCCUCACGACUUUAUUUUAACUUUUCAUUAUGUUAUCCUUCUAAUAUUCGUUAAUGAGCAAUGGGAAAUAAUACUUUGUAGCUCCUCCUUUCCCGCUCCCUCCUCGUUUUCUAUGCCGUAUACCUAAUCAGUGUACAAGAUCAGCAAGUUUUCCUUACGACUUUAUUUUAACUUUUCAUUAGGUUAUCCUUCUAAUAUUCGUUAAUGAGUAAUGGGAGAGAAUACUUUGUAGCUCCCCCUUUCCCGCUCCCUCCUCGUUUUCUAUGCCUUAUACCUGAUCAGUGUAAAAGACUACCAAGUUUUCAUCCUGGCCUCCUUUUUAGCUUCUCAUCGGGUCAUCCUUCCCCCUGGCACGUCUCUAUUUUAGGCGAGGAAUGUUAGAUCACCAAUUACUAGGCAGCCUCUAUCCUCCUCCUCCCCUGCAUACUUUGAUAACAAUGUACAAGGUUAUUAGUCAUUUUUACCCUUUUUCUUCAUUACGGCGCCCCUUUAAGAUAUCAUUAGCUUCCCGUCCCUGCUGCCACGCCUCCAGUUCAAGCUAAAAAUAUAACCAAUUAUUAGGCAUAGCGGGCUUUUUUUAAUUUAGUUUUGUUUUUUACCUUUGAGCCGUUUCCCUUUCUAUAAAAAAAGCACUAUUCUCCUCUGUUCUUUAACUU
Molecule: long non-coding RNA, 1043 nt
Organism: Eriocheir sinensis (Chinese mitten crab)
Lineage: Eukaryota; Metazoa; Arthropoda; Malacostraca; Decapoda; Varunidae
Exons: 3
Source: RefSeq, a predicted model, not a curated record